This 511-nucleotide ribosomal RNA is filed under the name uncultured Eubacteriales bacterium. RNAcentral describes it as "bacterial SSU rRNA". It matches the Rfam family "Bacterial small subunit ribosomal RNA", at positions 1 to 507 of the family's 1533-position model. The record is from RNAcentral. Lineage: Bacteria; Bacillati; Bacillota; Clostridia; Eubacteriales.
AGAGGUUUACGUGUCCUGGCGUCAGGAGUGAACGCUGCGGCGUGCCUAACACAUGCAAGUCGAACGGGCGGCGGCGUGCGGGCAGGGGCCGUCGGCCCCUCGCGGCGUCGCGCGAGUGGCGGACGGGUGAGUAACGCGUGGGCGAACCUGCCCUGUACUGGGGAGUAACACCUGGAAACAGGUGCUAAUACCGCAUAAGCGCGCAGUGCCGCAUGGCACGGCGCGGAAAACCCCGGUGGUACAGGAUGGGCCCGCGUCUGAUUAGCUGGUUGGCAGGGUAACGGCCUACCAAGGCGACGAUCAGUAGCCGGCCUGAGAGGGUGGACGGCCACACUGGGACUGAGACACGGCCCAGACUCCUACGGGAGGCAGCAGUGGGGGAUAUUGCACAAUGGGGGGAACCCUGAUGCAGCGACGCCGCGUGGGUGAAGGAGCGUUUCGGCGCGUAAAAGCCCUAUCGGCAGGGAAGAAGAUGACGGUACCUGACCAAGAAGCCCCGGCUAACUACGUG